Molecule: long non-coding RNA, 195 nt
Organism: Nematostella vectensis (starlet sea anemone)
Lineage: Eukaryota; Metazoa; Cnidaria; Anthozoa; Actiniaria; Edwardsiidae
Exons: 3
Source: RefSeq, a predicted model, not a curated record
GUUGACGAGUUUACAACUCAACUCGUGUUUCCGUUUAUUAUUCAGAAUUCACCGAUUAAGUAUCUUAGCUCCUGAAAUCAUGGCCGCCAUCUUGUUUUAUAUGUCGCGGAAGAGAAGAGACCAUCACGGCAGACUGCAUCGUCCAUAAUAAACAUAACAAACCAAGGCGGACGCAUCGUCCACGAGAAACAUAAG